Molecule: ribosomal RNA, 467 nt
Filed under: uncultured bacterium
Lineage: Bacteria
Description: partial 16S ribosomal RNA
Rfam family: Bacterial small subunit ribosomal RNA
Source: RNAcentral
GACGAACGCUGGCGGCGUGCUUAACACAUGCAAGUCGAACGGAAAGGCCCUGCUUUUGUGGGGUGCUCGAGUGGCGAACGGGUGAGUAACACGUGAGUAACCUGCCCUUGACUUUGGGAUAACUUCAGGAAACUGGGGCUAAUACCGGAUAGGAGCUCCUGCUGCAUGGUGGGGGUUGGAAAGUUUCGGCGGUUGGGGAUGGACUCGCGGCUUAUCAGCUUGUUGGUGGGGUAGUGGCUUACCAAGGCUUUGACGGGUAGCCGGCCUGAGAGGGUGACCGGCCACAUGGGGACUGGGAGAGGGCCCAGACCCCUACGGGAGGCAGCAGUGGGGAAUAUGACACAAGGGGCGGAAGCCUGAGGCAGCAACGCCGGGUGGGGGAUGACGGCCUUCGGGUUGUAAACCGCUUUCGCCGGGGACGAAGCGUGAGUGACGGUAAUGGGGAAAGAAGCACCGGCUAACUACGU